UACAGAGGUGGCAAGCGUUGUUCGGAAUUACUGGGCGUAAAGCGCACGUAGGCGGAUCUUUAAGUCAGAGGUGAAAUCCCAAGGCUCAACCUUGGAACUGCCUUUGAUACUGGGGAUCUUGAGUCCGGGAGAGGUGAGUGGAACUGCGAGUGUAGAGGUGAAAUUCGUAGAUAUUCGCAAGAACACCAGUGGCGAAGGCGGCUCACUGGCCCGGUACUGACGCUGAGGUGCGAAAGCGUGGGGAGCAAACAGG
This 253-nucleotide ribosomal RNA is filed under the name uncultured bacterium. RNAcentral's name for it is "partial 16S ribosomal RNA". It matches the Rfam family "Bacterial small subunit ribosomal RNA", at positions 524 to 776 of the family's 1533-position model. The record is from RNAcentral.